AACACAUGCAAGUCGAGGGGAAACGACAUCGAAAGCUUGCUUUUGAUGGGCGUCGACCGGCGCACGGGUGAGUAACGCGUAUCCAACCUGCCCACCACUUGGGGAUAACCUUGCGAAAGUAAGACUAAUACCCAAUGACGUCUCUAGAAGACAUCUGAAAGAGAUUAAAGAUUUAUCGGUGAUGGAUGGGGAUGCGUCUGAUUAGCUUGUUGGCGGGGUAACGGCCCACCAAGGCAACGAUCAGUAGGGGUUCUGAGAGGAAGGUCCCCCACAUUGGAACUGAGACACGGUCCAAACUCCUACGGGGAGGCAGCAGUGAGGAAUAUUGGUCAAUGGACGAGAGUCUGAACCAGCCAAGUAGCGUGCAGGAAGACGGCCCUAUGGGUUGUAAACUGCUUUUUAUUAAGGGAACUAAAAGUGAAUCUCGUGAGACUUUUUGCAUGUACCUUAUGAAUAAGGACCGGCUAAUUCCGUGCCAGCAGCCGCGGUAAUACGGAAGGUCCGGGCGUUAUCCGGAUUUAUUGGGUUUAAAGGGAGCGUAGGCCGGAGAUUAAGCGUGUUGUGAAAUGUAGACGCUCAACGUCUGCACUGCAGCGCGAACUGGUUUCCUUGAGUACGCACAAAGUGGGCGGAAUUCGUGGUGUAGCGGUGAAAUGCUUAGAUAUCACGAAGAACUCCGAUUGCGAAGGCAGCUCACUGGAGCGCAACUGACGCUGAAGCUCGAAAGUGCGGGUAUCGAACAGGAUUAGAUACCCUGGUAGUCCGCACGGUAAACGAUGGAUGCCCGCUGUUGGUCUGAAUAGGUCAGCGGCCA
RNAcentral lists this ribosomal RNA (814 nucleotides) under uncultured bacterium. RNAcentral describes it as "bacterial SSU rRNA". It matches the Rfam family "Bacterial small subunit ribosomal RNA", at positions 50 to 849 of the family's 1533-position model. The record is from RNAcentral.